GAAUGAGCUCCUGACCCUAUUGGGACAGGAUGAAAAGCGCUUCGGCGCUGCCUUGUGAUGAGCCUGCGGCUGAUUAGUUAGUUGGUGGGGUAACGGCCUACCAAGGCAGCGAUCAGUAGCCGGCCUGAGAGGGUGAUCGGCCACACUGGGACUGAGAUACGGCCCAGACUCCUACGGGAGGCAGCAGCUAAGAAUCUUCCGCAAUGGACGAAAGUCUGACGGAGCGACGCCGCGUGGGUGAAGAAGGCCGAGAGGUUGUAAAGCCCUUUUCUGUCUGAGGAAUAAGCUUGGGAGGGAAUACCCGAGUGAUGACGGUAGGACAGGAAUAAGCCCCGGCUAAUUACGUGCCAGCAGCCGCGGUAACACGUAUGGGGCGAGCGUUGUUCGGAAUUAUUGGGCGUAAAGGGCGCGUAGGCGGAUUGUGCAAGUCUGGUGUGAAAGACCGCAGCUUAAACUGCGGGAGCGCGCUGGAAACUGUACGUCUUGAAUUCCUUGAGGGGGAACCUGGAAUUCCUGGUGUAGGGGUGAAAUCUGUAGAAUAUCAGGAAGAACAUCGGUGGCCGAAGGCAAGUUCCUGGCAAGGUGAUUGACGCUGAGGCGCGAAAAGCGUGGGGAGCAACCAGGAUUAGAUACCCUGGUAGUCCACGCUGUUAAACCGAUGUGCCACUAGGCGUUUGGGCUGUUGAAACCUCAGUGCCAGGAGCUAACGUUGGUAAGUGCACCGCCUUGGGGAGUAUGCCGGCAACCGGUGAAACUCAAAGGGAAUUGACCGGGGCCCCGCACAAGCGGUGGAGCAUGUGGUUUAAUUCGAUGAUACGCGAGAAACCUUACCAGGGUUUGACAUAUACCGGAAGUCGGUAAGAGAUUACGGGGGGCCUACGGGGCGUGGUAUACAGGUGCUGCAUGGCUGUCGUCAGCUCGUGCCGUGAGGUGUUGGGUUAAGUCCCGCAACGAGCGCAACCCCCCUAUUGCAAUGUUGCUAACAGGUUAAGCUGAGGACUCAGGCGAGAGUGACUGCCGGUGACACACCGGAGGAAGGUGGGGACGACGUCAAGUCAUCAUGGCCCUUAUGUCCUGGGCUACACACGUGCUACAAUGGCCGGUACAAAGUGAUGCGAAACCGCGAGGUGAAGCGAAUCGCAAAAAACCGGUCUCAGUUCGGAUUGGAGUCUGAAACCCGACUCCAUGAAGGUGGAAUCGCUAGUAAUCGCAUAUCAGCAUGAUGCGGUGAAUACGUUCCCGGGCCUUGUACACACCGCCCGUCACACCACCCGAGUUGGGG
This 1282-nucleotide ribosomal RNA is filed under the name uncultured organism. RNAcentral describes it as "bacterial SSU rRNA". It matches the Rfam family "Bacterial small subunit ribosomal RNA", at positions 171 to 1416 of the family's 1533-position model. The record is from RNAcentral.